UCCGAAUGGCUACAUACUCAGACCUUACCAGUCGACGUACCUCAAUACCAUUAAUUGAUCCAAGCAAUUGAUCAACGGAACA
RNAcentral lists this ribosomal RNA (82 nucleotides) under Mylodon darwinii. RNAcentral's name for it is "partial 16S ribosomal RNA". The record is from RNAcentral. Lineage: Eukaryota; Metazoa; Chordata; Mammalia; Pilosa; Mylodontidae.